This 202-nucleotide ribosomal RNA is filed under the name uncultured bacterium. Its description in RNAcentral is "partial 16S ribosomal RNA". It matches the Rfam family "Bacterial small subunit ribosomal RNA", at positions 332 to 526 of the family's 1533-position model. The record is from RNAcentral.
AUUACUCCUACGGGAGGCAGCAGUGGGGAAUUUUGGACAAUGGGCGUAAGCCUGAUCCAGCCAUGCCGCGUGAGUGAAGAAGGCCUUCGGGUUGUAAAGCUCUUUUAGUCGGAAAGAAAAAAUCAUGGUUAAUAGCCAUGAUUUAUGACGGUACCGACAGAAGAAGCACCGGCUAACUACGUGCCAGCGCCGCGGUAAUAAU